Molecule: small nuclear RNA, 79 nt
Filed under: Homo sapiens (human)
Lineage: Eukaryota; Metazoa; Chordata; Mammalia; Primates; Hominidae
Description: partial ncRNA
Source: RNAcentral
AGAGAAUUGCUUGAACCCAGGAGGUGGAGGUUGCAGUGCUCCGAGAUUGUGCCACUGCACUGCAGUCUGGGUGACAAGA